This 1398-nucleotide ribosomal RNA is filed under the name uncultured bacterium. RNAcentral describes it as "partial 16S ribosomal RNA". It matches the Rfam family "Bacterial small subunit ribosomal RNA". The record is from RNAcentral.
GAAUUCGCCCUUAGAGUUUGAUCCUGGCUCAGGAUGAACGCUGGCGGCGUGCUUAACACAUGCAAGUCGAGCGAAGCGCCUAAGACAGAUUCUUCGGAUGAUGACUUAAGUGACUGAGCGGCGGACGGGUGAGUAACGCGUGGGUAACCUGCCUCAUACAGGGGGAUAACAGUUAGAAAUGACUGCUAAUACCGCAUAAGACCACAGCACCGCAUGGUGCAGGGGUAAAAACUCCAGUGGUAUGAGAUGGACCCGCGUCUGAUUAGGUAGUUGGUGAGGUAACGGCUCACCAAGCCGACGAUCAGUAGCCGGACUGAGAGGUUGACCGGCCACAUUGGGACUGAGAUACGGCCCAGACUCCUACGGGAGGCAGCAGUGGGGAAUAUUGGGCAAUGGGCGCAAGCCUGACCCAGCAACGCCGCGUGAAGGAAGAAGGCUUUCGGGUUGUAAACUUCUUUUCUUUGUGAAGAAACAAAUGACGGUAGCAAAGGAAUAAGCAUCGGCUAACUACGUGCCAGCAGCCGCGGUAAUACGUAGGAUGCAAGCGUUAUCCGGAUUUACUGGGUGUAAAGGGAGCGCAGGCGGGACUUCAAGUUGGAUGUGAAAUGUCAAGGCUUAACCAUGGCACUGCAUCCAAAACUGUAGUUCUUGAGUGGAGUAGAGGUAAGCGGAAUUCCGAGUGUAGCGGUGAAAUGCGUAGAUAUUCGGAGGAACACCAGUGGCGAAGGCGGCUUACUGGGCUCUAACUGACGCUGAGGCUCGAAAGUGUGGGGAGCAAACAGGAUUAGAUACCCUGGUAGUCCACGCCGUAAACGAUGGAUACUAGGUGUGGGAGGUACUGACCCCUUCCGUGCCGGAGUAAACACAAUAAGUAUCCCACCUGGGGAGUACGGCCGCAAGGUUGAAACUCAAAGGAAUUGACGGGGGCCCGCACAAGCAGUGGAGUAUGUGGUUUAAUUCGAAGCAACGCGAAGAACCUUACCAGGUCUUGACAUCGAGUGACGAGCUAAGAGAUUAGCUUUCCUUUCGAGGCACGAAGACAGGUGGUGCAUGGUUGUCGUCAGCUCGUGUCGUGAGAUGUUGGGUUAAGUCCCGCAACGAGCGCAACCCUUACCAUUAGUUGCUACGCAAGAGCACUCUAAUGGGACUGCCGUUGACAAAACGGAGGAAGGUGGGGAUGACGUCAAAUCAUCAUGCCCCUUAUGACCUGGGCUACACACGUACUACAAUGGCAAUUAACAAAGAGCAGCAAAGCCGCGAGGUGGAGCGAAUCUCCAAAAAUUGUCCCAGUUCAGAUUGCAGGCUGCAACUCGCCUGCAUGAAGUCGGAAUUGCUAGUAAUCGUAGAUCAGCAUGCUACGGUGAAUACGUUCCCGGGCCUUGCACUCACCGCCCGUCA